UACGUAGGGCGCAAGCGUUGUCCGGAAUUAUUGGGCGUAAAGAGCUCGUAGGCGGUCCGUCACGUCUGCCGUGAAAACCCGGGGCUCAACUCCGGGCCUGCAGCCGAUACGGGCAGACUAGAGUUCGGCAGGGGAGAAUGGAAUUCCUGGUGUAGCGGUGAAAUGCGCAGAUAUCAGGAGGAACACCGGUGGCGAAGGCGGCCAUCUGGACGACUACUGACGCUGAGGCGCGAAAGCGUGGGGAUCAAACAGG
Molecule: ribosomal RNA, 253 nt
Filed under: uncultured bacterium
Lineage: Bacteria
Description: partial 16S ribosomal RNA
Rfam family: Bacterial small subunit ribosomal RNA
Source: RNAcentral